This 301-nucleotide signal recognition particle RNA is filed under the name Phascolarctos cinereus (koala). RNAcentral describes it as "Metazoan signal recognition particle RNA (ENSPCIG00000012546.2)". It matches the Rfam family "Metazoan signal recognition particle RNA". Rfam says of the family: The signal recognition particle (SRP) is a universally conserved ribonucleoprotein. It is involved in the co-translational targeting of proteins to membranes. Lineage: Eukaryota; Metazoa; Chordata; Mammalia; Diprotodontia; Phascolarctidae. The record is from RNAcentral.
GCUGGGUGUGGUGAAGCAUACCUGUAAUCCUUGCUCCUGGGGAGGCAGAAGGCUGGUGGUUUACUUAUGUUUAGGGGUUCUGAGAUGCAGUAAGGUUAAAUCACAUGAGGUAUCUGUAUGAAGUAUGAUACCAAUGUUGGGAGCCACUGUAAGCAAGGGGCUACCAGGCUGCCUAGGAGAGGCUAACUGACCCAGUUCAGAAACAAAGUGGGUCAAAGCUUCUAUGCUGAUCAGUCAUGGAAUUGAGCCCAUGAGUGGCUGCUGCACUUCUAGCCUGGGGAGAUAGGGAGAGUCUAUCUCA